RNAcentral lists this ribosomal RNA (516 nucleotides) under uncultured microorganism. Its description in RNAcentral is "bacterial SSU rRNA". It matches the Rfam family "Bacterial small subunit ribosomal RNA", at positions 9 to 508 of the family's 1533-position model. The record is from RNAcentral.
GAGUUUGAUCUUGGCUCAGGAUGAACGCUGGCGGCGUGCCUAAUACAUGCAAGUCGAGCGAACGGACGAGAAGCUUGCUUCUCUGAUGUUAGCGGCGGACGGGUGAGUAACACGUGGAUAACCUACCUAUAAGACUGGGAUAACUUCGGGAAACCGGAGCUAAUACCGGAUAAUAUUUUGAACCGCAUGGUUCAAAAGUGAAAGACGGUCUUGCUGUCACUUAUAGAUGGAUCCGCGCUGCAUUAGCUAGUUGGUAAGGUAACGGCUUACCAAGGCAACGAUGCAUAGCCGACCUGAGAGGGUGAUCGGCCACACUGGAACUGAGACACGGUCCAGACUCCUACGGGAGGCAGCAGUAGGGAAUCUUCCGCAAUGGGCGAAAGCCUGACGGAGCAACGCCGCGUGAGUGAUGAAGGUCUUCGGAUCGUAAAACUCUGUUAUUAGGGAAGACAUAUGUGUAAGUAACUGUGCACAUCUUGACGGUACCUAAUCAGAAAGCCACGGCUAACUACGUCG